RNAcentral lists this ribosomal RNA (253 nucleotides) under uncultured bacterium. RNAcentral's name for it is "partial 16S ribosomal RNA". It matches the Rfam family "Bacterial small subunit ribosomal RNA", at positions 524 to 776 of the family's 1533-position model. The record is from RNAcentral.
UACAGAGAGUGCGAGCGUUAAUCGGAAUUACUGGGCGUAAAGCGCGUGUAGGUGGAUAUUUAAGUCGAAUGUGAAAGCCCUGGGCUCAACCUAGGAACGGCAUCCGAUACUGAAUGUCUAGAGUACAGUAGAGGGAAGUGGAAUUUCCGGUGUAGCGGUGAAAUGCGUAGAUAUCGGAAAGAACAUCAGUUGCGAAGGCGGCUUCCUGGACUGAUACUGACACUGAGGCGCGAAAGCGUGGGGAGCAAACAGG